Long non-coding RNA from Eriocheir sinensis (Chinese mitten crab), 764 nucleotides. RefSeq lists it as uncharacterized. The record is from RefSeq and is a predicted model, not a curated record. NCBI's taxonomy places the organism in Eukaryota, Metazoa, Arthropoda, Malacostraca, Decapoda, Varunidae. The transcript is spliced from 5 exons.
CUCUCUCUCUCUCUCUCUAACGGACACACAUAACGACUUUCAACCAUAAACAGCUGUCAGAGAAUUGCCAGAUAGCCACUACGGACUGAAUUCACAUGCACUUUCCACCUCCCUUCCUUCAUUCCUCGAGCAAACAGAAGAGUGAAAGGAGAGAGCGUUGAGCGUUUAGAGGUGACAUUAUUACACAAGAGAAGAUUUGUGUAAGUUGAGUUCGCUGUGUGCUGUGGUGGUGGUGGCGACGGCGGCGGCGGCGCUGUUGUUACCAAGAGAGAGAAGGGAGGUUGCUAAGGAGAGGAUGCAAGAGGUUUUGUGUGAGGUGGAGAAGGGCGAGGCAGUCACGUGAUGAGGCCAGUAGCACCUGGUGAUAAGUAAACGAGGCCUUACCUGUCCGCUCUUCCAACAGGGUGGCAGCAAGGAUGGGGGCCUUGGGAAGGUGGCAGGACAGGUGAUGGCCUUCAGUCUUGUUUUGUGGAGGAGGGGAAUGUGAAGGUCCCACCAACAUCACUUUAAUGCAGCUCCUGAAUCUUUGGAGUCCACCCAAGAGAGAGACAACAACCUCCAGAACUUUCAGCAGCAAGAGAAGGUCAAGAGGUGCAGAGAUCUCUGAGGUCUGUGAGACAGGCAGCUGGAUCCCACCACUGCUCGGGACUCGACUCUCCAUCCGGGCAUGAACAACGCCUACAACAGCAGGCUGGGACCACACUUCAAGGGCCUCCACACACCACACCUGGAAGAAGUCUUGAUGAAUUUUCUGUAUGUUUUUU